UGGGAUUUUCUUUGCCCUCCUGAGAGGGGAGCUGGGAGACACCAAGUUCCGUCCAAUCAGUCAUGUAGAUAAAAAAUAGUGUGAUAUGAAGUUUGGCUGGUAGACAAACUUACUUAGUUCGUCACGGGUCAUCUGUUCUGACUGGAGGUCAAUUGCAAGUCUUUCAAGUCAUGGGUCACCCAGCACCUCAUAGUUAUGAUAUGACCAAAUUAGAUUUGCUCAAAAUUUUUUCCCAAAAGCACAAAAAAUGGACUCGAUUCGAACUCGAACCCAAUCCAACUCGGAUCCGGACCCGACCCGAACCCGAC
RNAcentral lists this long non-coding RNA (308 nucleotides) under Phoenix dactylifera (date palm). Its description in RNAcentral is "long non-coding RNA (PDAC_LNC002631)". The record is from RNAcentral. Lineage: Eukaryota; Viridiplantae; Streptophyta; Magnoliopsida; Arecales; Arecaceae.